GAAAAGAAGAGGUCGUUAUUCAGUUACUUGUGUCGUCAGCAGUGGACCAAUCACAAAACCCAAAUCCUCCACCUCGAAAACUUUGUUCUUUCUUCGUUUAUUUCUGUAUCCUAUUCCUUGACCACUUCGUUUCUCUCUUCUUUACCUCUAGAAGAAGCUGAGCUCCGGCAAUUUUCCAGCCAUGAAUUUCGAAACCCUAACUCACCACCUUCACUUUCACUGCUCUUAUUUCCAAACUCCCAACCGAAAAUUCAAUCCAAACUUCAUUUCACCAAAAAUUAGUGUCAGAAUCCUAAGGUGCAGAGAUAAUCGAUCCGUUAUUAGAAACUGCGGCUACCCGAGCCGCGGAGUCGAUAACCCCAUUCAUAUUUUUCCAACUGAGGAAGAAAAGGAAGAGGCGGCUGUAGUGGAGAAAAUGCAGAUGUUUGGAGAGGUGUCUGAAAAUAUUAGAGAAGAAUUAUCGGAGAGUGGCAGUUUGUGGGAUCAGAUAACUGAAAUUGUGAAGUUUUCUGGUCCUGUUGUUGGGCUUUGGCUUUGUGGACCAUUGAUGAGUUUAAUUGAUACAGCUGUUGUUGGUCAGAGCAGCUCCGUUGAGCUUGCUGCUUUAGGGCCAGGAACAGUGUUCUCUGAUUGUGCAAGCUACCUGUUUAUGUUUCUUUCAAUUGCCACUUCGAAUUUGGUUGCUACAUCCCUUGCUCAGCAGGAUAAAAGUGAGGUGCAACAUCAGAUAUCUAUCUUGCUGUUUGUUGGAUUGGCUUGUGGUAUCAUGAUGCUUUUCUUUACUAAGUUUUAUGGCCGUUGGGCUUUGACUGCUUUUGCAGGCGCUAAUAAUGCAGAUAUCAUAACUGCGGCAAAUACAUAUGUUCAGAUACGCGGGUUGGUAUGGCCAGUAUGGCUUGUUGGAUCGGUUGCUCAAAGUGCAAGUUUAGGAAUGAAAGAUUCGUGGGGACCUAUCAAAGCUUUGGCAGUUGCAAGUGCUAUCAAUGGCGUAGGUGAUAUCGUCUUAUGCAAAUUCCUAGGAUUGGGUAUUGCUGGAGCAGCAUGGGCCACGAUGGUGUCACAGGUUGUUGCAGCUUACAUGAUGAUUGAUGCUUUGAACAAGAAAGGGUACAAUGGUUUUGCCAUCUCUAUUCCAUCACCUAACGAAUUCCUUCAGAUAUUCAUGCUCGCAGCUCCUGCAUUUGUGGCAAUUUUGUCAAAGAUAGGAUUUUACUCUCUGCUUGUGUACUUCGCUACAUCAAUGGGUACAAAAACUGUUGCUGCUCAUCAGGUGAUGAUACAAUUGUACUGCAUAUGUGCUGUUUGGGGUGAGCCACUUUCUCAAACAGCCCAGUCAUUUAUGCCUGAACUGAUAUAUGGAGCUAAUCGAAGUUUAGCAAAGGUUCGACAACUACUGAAGUCGCUGGUCUUUAUUGGUGCACUAAGUGGACUGAUAUUAGGAUCUAUUGGAACAUCACUUCCCUGGCUAUUCCCUAAAAUCUUUUCCUCUGAUCAUGAAGUCAUACAGGAGAUGCACAAGGUGCUGAUCCCUUUCUUUAUUGCUCUAUUUGCUGCACCACCUAUUAAUUGCCUCGAAGGCACAUUAAUGGCUGGAAGAGAUUUGAAGUUCCUAGGUAUCUCAAUGACUGGCAUCGCAUGUUUGGGGACACUUCUAGUUAAGGUGUUGAGCCAGAGGGGUUAUGGAUUAACUGGGUGUUGGUUAGCACUUGUUGCAUUUCAAUUGUCUCUGUUUACCGUUUUGCUGAGACGGCUCACCUUACCUAGUGGGAUACUGUACUCUGAAGACGUGACUCGUUAUGAACAUGGGAAGCUGAAAACUGUAUAGUUUGGCCUGUGUCCGGGACACUAAAGUCCCUCAAGAUUUCUACCCAGGACUUUACCCAAAAUAUCAUUUGGCGCUUUUCUCUCUCUUCUUUCUCUCUCUACAAAGCAAUACGCAGCGCCCGCGAAGACGAGUCUAGCCAUGAUUCUGAAAACGCCAAUUCACCACUCUUACCACCCUAGUCUCCG
Molecule: non-coding RNA, 2010 nt
Organism: Sesamum indicum (sesame)
Lineage: Eukaryota; Viridiplantae; Streptophyta; Magnoliopsida; Lamiales; Pedaliaceae
Source: RefSeq, a predicted model, not a curated record